This 92-nucleotide transfer RNA is filed under the name Caudoviricetes sp. RNAcentral's name for it is "tRNA-Trp". It matches the Rfam family "tRNA". Rfam says of the family: Transfer RNA (tRNA) molecules are approximately 80 nucleotides in length. Lineage: Duplodnaviria; Heunggongvirae; Uroviricota; Caudoviricetes. The record is from RNAcentral.
GUACGGAUGCCUGAGUGGUCGAAAGGGUAGGUCUCCAAAACCUAUAGAGACGAAAGUUGAACAGCGUGGGUUCGAAUCCUACUCCGUGUGCA